Molecule: long non-coding RNA, 1799 nt
Filed under: Homo sapiens (human)
Lineage: Eukaryota; Metazoa; Chordata; Mammalia; Primates; Hominidae
Description: HSALNT0389635
Source: RNAcentral
UGUCCAGGAAUGGAACCAAAGUCUCGGUCAAAGUCUCAGUCGAUUCCUGAGGCGGAGCUGACAUCUGGGAGGAAGCAGAGGACCCCAGGUGAGGAAGCCAUGGUUUAAAGCAGAGAUCACCAACUGCUGGACCACAGACCUGCACGAGUUCACGGCCUGUUAGGAACCGAGCCACACAGCAGGAGCACAUGCUCCUCUGCAGAAAGUGAUGGGGCUGCCUUGCCAGCUGGAGCCUGAAACUGUGCCCAGGUAGACAGAACUGCGAGUCCCAGGACAGCCUGGGAAGUGUUGGCUGCCUGGUAAUGGAAGAAUGUCCAGGAUGGAAAACAAGAGGCUGGAUCUGCAAAUGACAUUGUAUUUCAGGGGUCUGCUUUCCUGGUCUGCCCCUCCCCACCUCUGUAGCUCCCUCACAGUGACAGCAGAGCUGUGAACCCAGGAACAAACCCCACCAUUGCCCCUGUCCUCUCUCAUCUCUACUUUCCACAUUGAAAAAUAAUAAAAGAGGCCAGGCAUGGUGGCUCAAAACAGCUAUAAUACCAGCACUAGGAUGCCAAGAUGAGAGAAUGGCUUGAGGCCAGGAGUUCAAGACCUGCCUGAGCAACAUAGAGAGACCCACCCCCCAGUCUCUGCAAAAGCUAAAAAUUAGCUGAGCAUGGUGGGAUGCACUUGAAGUCCCAGCUACUUGGAGGCUAAGUCAGGAGGAUCACUUGAGCCCAGAAGGUUGAGGCUGUAAUGAACCAUGAUUGUGCCACUGCAUUCCAGCCUGGGUGACAGAGUGAUAUCCUGUCUCUAAAAAAUAAAUAAGGUAAUAAUAAUAAAAUAAAUGCCCUCCAGGAGUUUCAGUAAAGGGUCUGAAGUAUAUAAUUUGUACUUGUACCUCAGGCCAGCCUUCUGCCAGUAACCAUGAUUGCAGGCUGAUCCCAAAAGUCGUUGUCUUCAUCUGUUUUAUGCUACUAUAACUGAAUACCACAUGCUGGGAAAUUUACUAGGAAUAGAUGUGUACUUAGCUCACAGUUCUGGAGGCUGGGAAGUCCAAGAGCAUGACACCAGCAUCUGGUGAGGUCCUUUAUGCAGCUUCAUCCCAUAGUGAAAGGCAGAAGGGCAAGAGAGCAUGAGAAGGAGCAAGCAAGAGAGGGCCAAAUUCGCUUUUAUAACAACCUGCCCUCUCAAUAGCAAACCCACUUCUGCAAUAACAACAUUAACCUAUUCAUAAGGGUGGAGUCCUCAUGACCUAAUCACCUCUUAAUAAUCCUACUUCUUAGAACCAUCACAAUGGCAAUUAAAUUUCAACAUGAGUUUUGGAGGGGACAUUCAAACCAUAGCUGUACAGUUUAUAUAGCUAGCAUGGUCAGGCUCAAGUAAAGCUAUCGUAGGAUUAUUGAUUGCCAAUCAUGUUCCAGGCUAUGCCUUAAGUGCUUUGUAUACUUGCAACAAAUUUGUGAACUGAGAAUUAUUCUUAUGAGUGUUUUCCAAACGCGGAAACAGGGUUCAGAAGACUUAAAUAGGAAGGUUGCCCAGACAAAACAGCAGGAAUUUGAACCCAGAGGGAAUUUGAACCCAGGUCUGUUCUGCUCUAAAAUCUGUGCUCUAAAAAAACAAACAAAAUUUCUGUUAUGGCAAAUUUCUAAUAUACACAAAAGUUCUACAAACUAGUACCAUGAAUCACCACAUAUCUGCCACCAAGUUACAAUAACCAUCAACACAGGGCCACUCUUGUUGCAUCUCCCCCUUCUCCCUAAUUUUUUUUUUUUGUGUGUGAGAUGGAGUUUCACUCUUGUUGCCAAGGCUGGAGUGCAAUG